Anarrhichthys ocellatus (wolf-eel) is the source of this 1683-nucleotide RNA transcript. It is a transcript of the gene named protein mono-ADP-ribosyltransferase PARP12-like, with no coding region annotated. The record is from RefSeq and is a predicted model, not a curated record. NCBI's taxonomy places the organism in Eukaryota, Metazoa, Chordata, Actinopteri, Perciformes, Anarhichadidae. The transcript has 2 exons.
CGCUCAGGUGCUGAGGUUGACUCUUCAUCUCUCUGAUACCUGCUCAGUAAAAAGCCAUUUUUUAGUUGUAGUAUAAAUAGUAGUAUAAAAUACUACAACUACUUCUACAAGAUAAUUAUCUGCUCUUGUUUUCUUACUCAUUGAGGACUAUUUCCUGUGUUUUCCUCCGCUGCGGAGUGAUAUGAGACGAAACGAAAGUUAAGGAAAUGAAACCUGAACCGCAGCUGAAGAUGAAGGAUCUAUAAUUAUGAUAUUUUAGAGGGCGUGUCUGUGACGUCAUGGAACAGCUGAUCCAUCUGUUUUCCAGAGAAUGAAAGUUGAAGAGAAGCUGUGAGCUGGUUCAAGAAAUAGAAACUAUAGAAGUGAUGUUACUUUUCACUUCAUGGCCAUAAGUUUGUGGACAGUUCCUGGCUUUGGUCUCUUGGUUCCUCUGAAGAUAUAAAUAUAAUAUUUCUGUAUUCUAACAGUUCUCUCUUGACAGGAACAUCCCAGUGCUGAUGUGUCUCAUUACAUCUGUUUUAAGGGUUCAUUUAGUAAUCAAUUCAUUUUCUGUUUCUGUUUUAUUUCACAAUAAACUAAAUCAGACUUUGGUUUUAAAAGGUUGAGAAUCCAUCGAUUAAUGCAAAUAAUAUUCAGAUGAUUCGUGAAUGAAACUAGAUGAGUUGCAUCUUUAUUAAUGUAAUCGACAGUAGAACAUUGAGUUGCUUACUGUGAGAACACGUUAAAGACAGAAACAACUGAUUAUUAUUAUUCUAACAAGUUCAAAGACAUCAAACUAUUCAAAUAUUUAGAACCAACAUCAGAGCAAAAUACACAAUAUCCACAUUCAUAAGAAAUGGUACACAUUAAUAUCAAUAAUACCAGCUAAUAUCAUUAUACACAUUCAUUCCCAUUGAUGCACAUUAGCGGAUAUUAAUGAAUAUCGUGUUGAUUAUAGACGUCUGACUGAUAAAGUUGAACCUCGUUAACGUUGUUCGUUACAGGAAGUUGUGUAAAUUCUCCCACGACAUUCAUUCAGCUCAUAACUUUGAGUUACUGAGAGAAUGUACGCUGCACGAGCUCACCGAGGACCAGCUGCUGCUGCUGCUGCUGCAGAACGACUGCACGCUGCUACCAGAGGUGGUUUGUCUCUUCUCUGUUUUCACUCUUUUACGGUUUCUUCUGGACAAAUGAACUCAGAUGAGGAUCCUGCUCUCUUAUUGGACGAUACAGCUGUCACUCCAAAUGUCAGAAUAGGCUUCAUGUCACUUCUUUACAGUAACAAUGAAAAAAGAACAACUUUAUUUUAAAAAAGUCCAGAGAGGGUGAAGAAGAGAAGCAUCGAAGAGGCUCAAACAGAACCAGAAGGUUGAGUCAGAAAGAAAAAAGAACAAAAAAAAGAAAAUAUGAAAGUGUUUCCUCAGAGGUAAAGUAAAACAAUUUGUUCUGUAGGUUCGACUGGUUUUUAUGAAUAUUUAUCACAUUAAACAAUAUACAUCCUGUCUUUACAUAUUUACUCUAUCUCAUAUUUAGAAAUAUAAAUACUUUAUUAUGAGAUGAAAAAUGUAUUUUCUGUCCAUUUAUGCGUCUCUGUAUGACUUCCUGUCUCAGGUGUGUCUGCACUACAACAAAGGCUCUGGUCUUCACGGCGGCUGCACCUUCCAGGAGAACUGCACCAAAGUGCACCUGUGUCAACACUUCGUU